CAGGUAAAGAAUUCUUUGGAUCAGUGGUUCUCCUUCUUUUGAAUCGUGUUUUCCUUGUGCAUCUUGUGCCGUGUGGAAUUCUAAAUGGGGGCUCCUGGUGUGAAGAUUUUGUUCUGCCAUUAAAUUGAUCACCGGUAAAUGAGCCACUGACAAAUUGGAAGCUGUCCCUGUCAUUCGUGCAUUGUAUAAGUUUUUUGGCGAAGAUUCAUUAAUUAAAUUGUUCAAUGAUCUUUAC
This 235-nucleotide long non-coding RNA is filed under the name Mytilus galloprovincialis (Mediterranean mussel). Lineage: Eukaryota; Metazoa; Mollusca; Bivalvia; Mytilida; Mytilidae. The record is from RNAcentral.